This 30-nucleotide non-coding RNA is filed under the name Mus musculus (house mouse). The record is from RNAcentral. Lineage: Eukaryota; Metazoa; Chordata; Mammalia; Rodentia; Muridae.
UGACCUUAAUUGGACUUUUCUGUUAGUUCA